RNAcentral lists this ribosomal RNA (633 nucleotides) under uncultured archaeon. Its description in RNAcentral is "bacterial SSU rRNA". It matches the Rfam family "Archaeal small subunit ribosomal RNA", at positions 1 to 631 of the family's 1478-position model. The record is from RNAcentral.
UGCUCUACAUUUCCUGGUUGAUCCUGCCGGAGGUACCGUUAUCAGGUUCCGGCUUAGCCAUGCGAGGCGCGAGGUGCAAGACCUCGCCGGACUGCUCAGUAACACGUAGUUAAUCUAUUCUCAGCUGGAGGAUAAUCCCGGGAAACUGGGGCUAAUACUCCAUAGGCUCUGGACGCUGGAAUGCCCCAGAGCUGAAAGCUCCGGCGGCUGAGAGUGAGACUGCGGCGUAUCAGGUCGUAGUGAGUGUAACGUACUCACUAGCCUAUAACGCGUAGGAGACAUGAGAGUGUGUGCUCCGAGAUGCACUCUGAGACAUGAGUGCAGGUCCUACGGGACGCAGCAGGCGCGAAACCUUUCCAAUUCGUUAACGCGUGAGAAGGGGAGCCUGAGUGGCUAUGCAAUGCAUAGUCUUUUCUUCAGUCCAAAAAGCUGGAGGAAUAAGUGGUGGGUAAGACAGGUGCCAGCCGCCGCGGUAAUACCUGCGCCACGAAUGGUAAUCGAUUUUAUUGGGUUUAGAGUGUCCGUAGCCGGCUUGGCAAGUCCCUGGUGAAAUCUGGCAGCUAACUGUCAGGAGUGCUGGGGAUACUACCAGGCUUGAGAUCGGGAUAGGGCAAAGGUACUCCACGUGUAGGA